This 299-nucleotide ribosomal RNA is filed under the name Pichia membranifaciens. RNAcentral describes it as "partial large subunit ribosomal RNA". It matches the Rfam family "Eukaryotic large subunit ribosomal RNA", at positions 107 to 411 of the family's 3401-position model. Lineage: Eukaryota; Fungi; Ascomycota; Pichiomycetes; Pichiales; Pichiaceae. The record is from RNAcentral.
GCUCAGAUUUGAAAUCGUGUCUUUGGCACGAGUUGUAGAGUGUAAGCGGGAGUCUUUGUGGAGCACGGUGUCCAAGUCCCUUGGAACAGGGCGCCUGAGAGGGUGAGAGCCCCGUGGGGUGCCGUGCGAAGCUCUGAGGCCCUGCUGACGAGUCGAGUUGUUUGGGAAUGCAACUCCAAGUGGGUGGGAAAUUCCAUCUAAGGCUAAAUACUGGAGAGAGACCGAUAGCGAACAAGUACUGUGAAGGAAAGAUGAAAAGCACUUUGAAAAGAGAGUGAAACAGCACGUGAAAUUGUUGA